CGAGUAGGCGGCGCAGUACGGUCUGGGUGAAAUCCCUCGGCUCAACCGAGGAAUUGCCUGGGCAAUGGCUGUGCUAGACAGCAUCAGGGGAAGGUGGAACUCCCGGUGGAGCGGUGAAAUGCGUAGAUAUCGGGAGGAACGCCGGUGGCGAAAGCGACCUUCUGGGGUGCUUGUGACGCUGAGGCGCGAAAGCUAGGGGAGCGAACG
Molecule: ribosomal RNA, 207 nt
Filed under: uncultured bacterium
Lineage: Bacteria
Description: partial 16S ribosomal RNA
Rfam family: Bacterial small subunit ribosomal RNA
Source: RNAcentral